UUUGGGGGCUUGUAGUGGUUAUAGUUUCUGCUUGAGUAGUGCCCCAUCUGCACAAGUGUGUACCUUUUGUCGUUUCCCAAAAAAAUGCCCAAGUAAGGAAGGAGUUCAGCUUACGCCACCCUUUUUUAAUAAUAAGACCUUAAGUAGUUUUGUCAAUUUACACAAGCUAGUUAGUUAGAUAUGAAAUUUUUAUAUUCAACAACUAAGAUAAAUCUUGGUUUACCAAACACUGAAAAAAAAAAAAAAAAACUUCCGACACCCUUUGUGAUUCUUUCUGUUUCCUUCCAAAUCCCAAUACACCAUUCUUUUCUCCCACCACCAACCACAACCCAAGAACUGUGCUCUUCGCUGGUGUCCUCCUCCGCCGCGGUGCUGCGCAAGUCGAAAUUGUAUUGACACCAUUCUAAAAUCACUGUCACCUACAACGGCCAAGCUCUCAUCUACAGUGAAAAAUCCAAAUGUUUCUAGGUUGUAGCAUCAAGUUUGCAAAUCUUUUCUAGAACCAAAUUGCAUUACAAAAAGCACAAUUCGAAAUGCAAGAUCAAUAUCAGAUCUAGAUGACAAGAAUGCAUGUUGUUCGUGUCGAUGGCCAAACUGCCAGCCUCCGAUCUCCCAUCGCCUGUAAGUCUCGUCCCCGGAGAAGACAAUGUUACACUAUAGAACAUAAGCAAAAGCAACAAAACAAGAGGGAAAAAAUAAUUGAUUUUUAUGAUGGGCUCCAAGUGUUUGGUUCCAGGUAGGUUACGCGAUGGGGCUGAUUCAAAGGAAGCUAGAUCAGAGGGAAUCGGAAGAGAUGAUGAAUUGAGCGGCAACUUAUCACUGUAGUGGCAAUGAACGUAUCGACGCCAAUAGCCUCAAUGAAGACCGCAAGCCCACCAGUUCACGAGAAAGGAAAGAGUUGUGAGAGAGAAAGAAAGAAAAAUAUUUUCUUUAGUGUAGGAAGUACUAUCAUAAUCUCAAAAAAACUUGACAUCGAAGGGUCCAUAGUUGUUUCGUAUGGUGCAGAACCUAUUCCACUCACGCAUACUAGUCAUGGUCAUAUCAAUUUAUCCACAUUAACAUCGAAGGACAUGACUUUCAAAUUGUUUCGAUUUUCAUACGCUGGAUACUAGCCAAAUCCAGAAUACAGCCUCCAAGAGCAGUAAAGACAAAAGUCACAUAGCGAGGUCCAUAUUCAUCCA
This is a long non-coding RNA of Glycine soja, 1181 nucleotides long. RefSeq lists it as uncharacterized. The record is from RefSeq and is a predicted model, not a curated record. Lineage: Eukaryota; Viridiplantae; Streptophyta; Magnoliopsida; Fabales; Fabaceae. The transcript is spliced from 3 exons.